UUAGGAAUUUUGCGCAAUGGGGGAAACCCUGACGCAGCAACGCCGCGUGAGUGAAGAAGGCCUUCGGGUUGUAAAGCUCUUUCGAGUGGGAAGAAACAAAUGACGGUACCACUAGAAGAAGCACCGGCUAACUCCGUGCCAGCAGCCGCGGUAAGACGGAGGGUGCAAGCGUUGCUCGGAUUUACUGGGCGUAAAGAGCACGUAGGCGGCUCGGUAAGUCUGAUGUGAAAGCCCUGGACUCAAUCCAGGAAGUGCAUUGGAUACUGCCGAGCUAGAAUGCAGGAGGGGUAAGCGGAAUUCCAGGUGUAGAGGUGAAAUUCGUAGAUAUCUGGAGGAACAACGGUGGCGAAGGCGGCUUACUGGACUGAUAUUGACGCUGAGGUGCGAAAGUGUGGGGAGCAAACGGGAUUAGAUACCCCUGUAGUCC
RNAcentral lists this ribosomal RNA (427 nucleotides) under uncultured prokaryote. Its description in RNAcentral is "bacterial SSU rRNA". It matches the Rfam family "Bacterial small subunit ribosomal RNA", at positions 355 to 796 of the family's 1533-position model. The record is from RNAcentral.